This 465-nucleotide ribosomal RNA is filed under the name uncultured Acholeplasma sp. RNAcentral describes it as "bacterial SSU rRNA". It matches the Rfam family "Bacterial small subunit ribosomal RNA", at positions 912 to 1382 of the family's 1533-position model. Lineage: Bacteria; Bacillati; Mycoplasmatota; Mollicutes; Acholeplasmatales; Acholeplasmataceae. The record is from RNAcentral.
GACGGGACCCCGCACAAGCGGUGGAUCAUGUUGUUUAAUUCGAUGAUACGCGAAGAACCUUACCAGGUCUUGACAUCCCCCGCGAUGCUUUAGAGAUAAAGCGGAGGUAUUCGGGGAGACAGGUGGUGCAUGGUUGUCGUCAGCUCGUGUCGUGAGAUGUUGGGUUAAGUCCCGCAACGAGCGCAACCCCUAUUGCUAGUUACCAUCAUUAAGUUGGGGACUCUAGCGAGACUGCCAGUGAUAAACUGGAGGAAGGUGGGGAUGACGUCAAAUCAUCAUGCCCCUUAUGACCUGGGCUACAAACGUGAUACAAUGGCUGGAACAAAGGGACGCGAAGCAGUGGUGUGGAGCGAAACCCAUAAAAACAGUCUCAGUUCGGAUUGAAGUCUGCAACUCGACUUCAUGAAGUCGGAAUCGCUAGUAAUCGCGGAUCAGAACGCCGCGGUGAAUACGUUCUCGGGGUUU